RNAcentral lists this ribosomal RNA (454 nucleotides) under uncultured Porphyromonadaceae bacterium. RNAcentral's name for it is "partial 16S ribosomal RNA". It matches the Rfam family "Bacterial small subunit ribosomal RNA", at positions 341 to 792 of the family's 1533-position model. The record is from RNAcentral. Lineage: Bacteria; Pseudomonadati; Bacteroidota; Bacteroidia; Bacteroidales; Porphyromonadaceae.
ACGGGAGGCAGCAGUGAGGAAUAUUGGUCAAUGGGCGGAAGCCUGAACCAGCCAAGUCGCGUGAGGGAAGACGGCCCUACGGGUUGUAAACCUCUUCUGCGCGGGGGUAAAGUCGGGGACGUGUCCCCGAUUGCAAGUACCGCGCGAAAAAGGAUCGGCUAACUCCGUGCCAGCAGCCGCGGUAAUACGGAGGAUCCGAGUGUUAUCCGGAUUUAUUGGGUUUAAAGGGUGCGCAGGCGGGAUGUCAAGUCAGUGGUGAAAUGGUGCGGCUCAACCGUAGCAUUGCCGUUGAAACUGGCGUCCUUGAGUGCGAAUGAGGUACGCGGAACGUGUCAUGUAGCGGUGAAAUGCAUAGAUAUCACGAAGAACUCCGAUUGCGAAGGCAGCCAUCUGGCGUGUUACUGACGCUCAUGCUCGAAGGUGCGGGUAUCAAACAGGAUUAGAUACCCUGGUA